Dermochelys coriacea (leatherback sea turtle) is the source of this 1083-nucleotide long non-coding RNA. RefSeq lists it as uncharacterized. Lineage: Eukaryota; Metazoa; Chordata; Testudines; Dermochelyidae. The record is from RefSeq and is a predicted model, not a curated record. The transcript is spliced from 2 exons.
UAGCCCUUUGGCCUUUCCCCAUGGCAAAACCUGACCAUCCUCUUGUUUUAUUCCAAGCAAUUCAGUCUGUGGUUGUGCCACUUGGCACUGGGAUCAAGCUAGGUUUCAGAGGCUGAGUAGGGGCAGGCUGGGUGGGUAAGUUGGAUAGGAGACCUCCGAGCGCCACCCACCCAGAUCUGCCGGACGCAGUGCUGGAGGAUUCGAUAGGUGGCGCGCUCUUAUUGGGUCAGCACGGCACACUAGGGAGGACUGUGUGGCAGGUGUAACACACACAAGCCCCCAUCACUAAAGAUCCCCUAGUGCUUCAGCGGAUGUUAGCCCCAGAGUCCCAGCCAAAUUCCAGCCUGGAAUUGCGAUGUUGCCUACCUAAUAUUCCUCCUGCAGUUACGGUACUCGGGCCCUGUCCUAAACGAUUAUAACAGCUGCUGCAGCCCUCCCCAGAGGUGGCCACAUUGGCUAGUCAAACCGACCCAUAUGAGUCUGUACCAUUUAUACAGCGCUCUGGGCUGCGAAGUACCGUAGGAGGAUCCACAUUGUAGCCCUGUCGUGCUUUUUAUAUUCUUUUGGUGGGGGAAAAGCAGGCUGAGUAGCUGAAAGCCACGAGGAUCGUGCACGGAGCCAUGAUAGGAGACAAACCGGAGGGUCCAAUACAAGCAGUGGAUAUCCCAGGCAGAGAAAGUCUCUCAACGCACCAGGGAAGGGUGCCUUCACCUACCUACAAGAGGAACACAUGCCCUACAACCCACAGAAAAGCAGGCACUGAUCCCACAUGGGCAGCCCGUCCCCUCUAACGCAAGCCUGAGUCAGGCUGGCAAGGGUGCCCGACAAUCCCCAGGAAUAAAACGCUGCUCUGGACCUCCCAGGGUGUUACUGACACCACUUAUCAGAGCCCUGCAGGCUGGCGAAGCCUCACUGGAGCGCUAGCAGGAGGUAGACACCAACUAACCUGUCUCAGUCAGGAAUCGCCUGUACUUUACAGCCCUGCCAAGGCUCCACUCAGCACCACGAGUCAGGGUUUCAGCGCAAACCGCUCCUUAUGCCUCUGGCUUCUGCAAUGGGAGUUUUACCCUGCCUGCAGUCUCA